UCUAUGUGUUUGUAGUGGAAGGAUCAUCUACAAUAGCUCAGUCCAAGAUCGUCCCAGAAGUCUUCAGUUCUCAAACAACUUUUGAGGGUCAAAGAAAAAAGAAUCACUGAAUGACUACCUUUGAAGGUGACUGAACAGCAUCAAAGAGAUGGGGGGAGAGAGAUGUGCUGGCAGAAAGACAGAGAGAGGACAGAGCAAGCUUCAAUGAUGGAGAUGAAGA
RNAcentral lists this long non-coding RNA (220 nucleotides) under Mustela putorius furo (domestic ferret). RNAcentral's name for it is "lncRNA (ENSMPUG00000031363.1)". Lineage: Eukaryota; Metazoa; Chordata; Mammalia; Carnivora; Mustelidae. The record is from RNAcentral.